GACAGAGGGUGCAAACGUUGUUCGGAAUUACUGGGCGUAAAGCGCGUGUAGGCGGCCAUCUAAGUCGGGCGUGAAAUCCCACGGCUCAACCGUGGAAGUGCACUCGAAACUGGAUGGCUAGAGUCCUGGAGAGGAAGGUGGAAUGCUUGGUGUAGAGGUGAAAUUCGUAGAUAUCAAGCGGAACACCGGUGGCGAAGGCGGCCUUCUGGACAGUGACUGACGCUGAGACGCGAAAGCGGUGGGGAGCAAACAGGG
Molecule: ribosomal RNA, 255 nt
Filed under: uncultured bacterium
Lineage: Bacteria
Description: partial 16S ribosomal RNA
Rfam family: Bacterial small subunit ribosomal RNA
Source: RNAcentral